AUGAAGUACCUGGGCCUCCCCCUUUCGAUCUGGCAGCUCAAAAGGGUUGACUUUCAACUCCUUGAGGAUAAGAUUGCGGCGAGGUUGCCCCCCUGGCAGGGGCGGAACAUUACCACCAUUGGGCGGGCGGCCUUGGUGAAAUCGAUCCUCACCUCACAAGUUGUCUACCACAUCACCCCGCUCACAGUCCCCCCUGGUGUGCUGCAAAGCAUCAACAAGAUUGAGCGGGCUUUUUUGUGGUCAGCUAGUGACACAACUACAGGAGCAAAAUGCAAGGUCAAUUGGGAGACAGUCUGCCGCCCUACACAGCUCGGUGGGCUUGGCAUACUCCACUUGGGGAAAUUUGCGAGAGCUCUCAGGAUGAGAUGGCCCUGGAUGGCAUGGAAGGACCCAUCUAAGUUGUGGGUUGGCCUG
Molecule: ribosomal RNA, 414 nt
Filed under: Triticum aestivum (bread wheat)
Lineage: Eukaryota; Viridiplantae; Streptophyta; Magnoliopsida; Poales; Poaceae
Description: partial small subunit ribosomal RNA
Source: RNAcentral